AUUACUGUAUAGUUUAUAGAAAAUAUAAAUAAUGCAUUAAACUGAAGGCUAUGUAGUCAAUUAACCACUUUUAAAUAACUAGCAGCAUGGGCUGAAGGGAGUAUAUAUAUCAUAGAUUAACACAACUGUGAAAAAACUUUCAGAGGCAAAUGUGGAUUUUGCUUAAUCUAUACCUUAAUAUUUCCAGAUGAUAGCCUAGAUUUAGCAGAAGAUUAGGACUGCUCAACUUCAACUCACAUGAUUGUGAGUUAAGCAUCAAUUAACCUGAAUGCCUUGUGAAGCACUUUAAUUCUUGCUGAAAACAGCAUUAUGGGAGUAUGUUUUGGGACUUGUCCUUGUUCUUCAUAGCGAAUAAUCCAAUGUAGUGUUUCAAUGUCUGAUCUAGCUCUAGAAAUUAGGCUUAUUUAG
Pelobates cultripes (western spadefoot toad) is the source of this 408-nucleotide non-coding RNA. Lineage: Eukaryota; Metazoa; Chordata; Amphibia; Anura; Pelobatidae. The record is from the annotation of a GenBank genome assembly.